Molecule: ribosomal RNA, 429 nt
Filed under: Gemmatimonadota bacterium
Lineage: Bacteria; Pseudomonadati; Gemmatimonadota
Description: Gemmatimonadetes bacterium partial 16S ribosomal RNA
Rfam family: Bacterial small subunit ribosomal RNA
Source: RNAcentral
UAGGGAAUCUUCGGCAAUGGACGAAAGUCUGACCGAGCAACGCCGCGUGAGUGAAGAAGGUUUUCGGAUCGUAAAACUCUGUUGUUAGAGAAGAACAAGGACGUUAGUAACUGAACGUCCCCUGACGGUAUCUAACCAGAAAGCCACGGCUAACUACGUGCCAGCAGCCGCGGUAAUACGUCGGUGGCAAGCGUUGUCCGGAUUUAUUGGGCGUAAAGCGAGCGCAGGCGGUUUCUUAAGUCUGAUGUGAAAGCCCCCGGCUCAACCGGGGAGGGUCAUUGGAAACUGGGAGACUUGAGUGAAGAAGAGGAGAGUGGAAUUCCAUGUGUAGCGGUGAAAUGCGUAGAUAUAUGGAGGAACACCGGUGGAGAAGGCGGCUCUCUGGUCUGUAACUGACGAUGAGGCUCGAAAGCGUGGGGAGCAAACAGG